This 254-nucleotide ribosomal RNA is filed under the name uncultured bacterium. Its description in RNAcentral is "partial 16S ribosomal RNA". It matches the Rfam family "Bacterial small subunit ribosomal RNA", at positions 524 to 776 of the family's 1533-position model. The record is from RNAcentral.
UACGUAGGGUGCGAGCGUUGUCCGGAAUUACUGGGCGUAAAGAGCUCGUAGGCGGCUUGUCGCGUCGACUGUGAAAACCCGCGGCACAACCGUGUGGUCUGCAGUCGAUACGGGCAGGCUAGAGUUCGGUAGGGGAGACUGGAAUUCCUGGUGUAGCGGUGAAAUGCGCAGAUAUCAGGAGGAACACCGGUGGCGAAGGCGGGUCUCUGGGCCGAUACUGACGCUGAGGAGCGAAAGCGUGGGGAGCGAACAGG